UUCCCCCAAGAACAGAGCAAUGCUCUGUUUUCCUUCUCAACCGAGCUCACCUCCUCCUUGGACCCGCCGGCCACCACCCAAACCGAGCUCUCCUCUUGGACGUGAGCUCCUCCCCUUUUAUAGAUCCUCACCAGAGAUCAUCCACAUGAUUUUGCGUGGAGAGGAGGAAGAACGGGCGCCUGGGAUUUCGGCAGGUGGAUCCGGACGCGUUGUGGCUGGAUGGAUCGCAGAUUGCGGCUGGAUCGCUGUUGGGUCGAGCGGAAGAAGCCGGGAGGAGCGUGGAUCCGGGCACUGGGAGGAGCCGAUCACGGGAUGAAGCUGGGCGUGGUGCGGAUGGGGCGGACGGAGGCUUGAUUGCUGGAGAUGUGGCACGCGGACGCUGGGAGGAGGCUGUGAACUUCUUUCUUUGGGCCAAGAGGGGGACGCGAUGCGGAAGGAAGAAGGCGCGGGCUGAGGCGGAGCGGGCGUGGGAUGAUGGCGUUGAA
RNAcentral lists this long non-coding RNA (485 nucleotides) under Phoenix dactylifera (date palm). RNAcentral describes it as "long non-coding RNA (PDAC_LNC012328)". The record is from RNAcentral. Lineage: Eukaryota; Viridiplantae; Streptophyta; Magnoliopsida; Arecales; Arecaceae.